UCGAAACCCACCACGAGCAGACCGCGAACACGUAACCAACACACGGGACUCCCAAUGGGCUGGACUAGUGCCACCCGUUGAAGCCCCGUCCCCGCCGUGUCCUCUCGCGAGGGAGUGUGCCCGGUGGGGGCCAAACAACCCACGGCGCGGAUGGCGCCAAGGAUCACAAUAGUGGAGUGCGUGCCCCUCCCCACACGACCCCGUUCGCGGCAUGCUGUGUGGGAGAUGCGCGUCUCCCUGGAUUGAAUAAUUCUGAAAU
RNAcentral lists this unclassified non-coding RNA (259 nucleotides) under Pinguicula villosa. RNAcentral describes it as "ITS1". Lineage: Eukaryota; Viridiplantae; Streptophyta; Magnoliopsida; Lamiales; Lentibulariaceae. The record is from RNAcentral.